This 768-nucleotide ribosomal RNA is filed under the name uncultured bacterium. Its description in RNAcentral is "bacterial SSU rRNA". It matches the Rfam family "Bacterial small subunit ribosomal RNA", at positions 8 to 796 of the family's 1533-position model. The record is from RNAcentral.
AGAGUUUGAUCCUGGCUCAGAGCGAACGCUGGCGGCAGGCUUAACACAUGCAAGUCGAGCGCUCGUAGCAAUACGAGAGCGGCAGACGGGUGAGUAACGCGUGGGAACAUGCCCUUCGGUUCGGAAUAACCCAGGGAAACUUGGGCUAAUACCGAAUACGUCCGUGAGGAGAAAGAUUUAUCGCCGAAGGAUUGGCCCGCGUCGGAUUAGCUAGUUGGUGAGGUAACGGCUCACCAAGGCGAUGAUCCGUAGCUGGUCUGAGAGGACGAUCAGCCACACUGGGACUGAGACACGGCCCAGACUCCUACGGGAGGCAGCAGUGGGGAAUAUUGGACAAUGGGGGAAACCCUGAUCCAGCCAUGCCGCGUGCGGGAAGAAGGCCUUCGGGUUGUAAACCGCUUUUGGUCGGAAAGAAAAGGCGCCACCUAAUACGGGGCGUUCUUGGCGGUACCGGCAGAAUAAGCACCGGCUAACUACGUGCCAGCAGCCGCGGUAAUACGUAGGGUGCGAGCGUUAAUCGGAAUUACUGGGCGUAAAGCGUGCGCAGGCGGUUCUCCAAGUCCGUUGUGAAAGCCCCGGGCUCAACCUGGGAAUGGCAGUGGAAACUAGGGGACUUGAAUCUGGCAGAGGGGGGUGGAAUUCCACGUGUAGCAGUGAAAUGCGUAGAGAUGUGGAGGAACACCGAUGGCGAAGGCAGCCCCCUGGGCUGAGAUUGACGCUCAGGCACGAAAGCGUGGGGAGCAACAGGAUUAGAUACCCUGGUAGUCC